UCGGGUCGAAGCACGACAUUCUUCCUGGAAUCGUCGAACAAGAACAGUGGCCCCGCGGGGAUGAAUCGAGGCCCGAGCUCGCUGGCCAUGAAAUCGAAGGUGGGCGCCUCGAGGUCGUAGAAGGAAUUGACGAGGACCCAGCGCGCGCGCUUCACGACGGGGGAGCGCUUGAUGCAAAUCUCCUUCAACACCUCCUGGCCCUCCGAGGCCAGCAGGCAAUCGGGCACAUCGGCCAGGCGGAGGGGCUUGACUCCUCGGACGUAAUCGAUGAUCACGGCAUUGGCCUCGUCGGGGGAAGCUUUCCCUGCGUCAACAGAGGAGGUUAAUUCCAAAGGGAAGAACAGGGGAAAUUUGAUGGUCCAAGGGAAGAACAGGGUAAAUACAAGGGAAGAAUAGGGGAAACGCUUAAUUCCAAGGGAAGAACAGGGGAAGAACGGAGAUUCGCACCUCUGCUAGGAAAGAUGUGAUCUUUCUCCAGAAGCUCUGGAAUGUGGUACUCAAAGCUCGUCCAUGCCGCGUUUCCCGACCAAAGAAUGAUCCUGGGGAUUCCAAACACAGCCGCCACAUCCUGGGUCCAAUCGCAGAUGUAAUCCGAGACGAUACAGCUGACCGGAUCGCCCUCCUCGCCGAGCUUGCGGAUCAAAUCCUCGAGGCCGCCGGGGAGCUCUCGCGCGGCUGCCGUGAACCAGUCCCCCACAUUUCCUGCGACGUUGGCGUCGACUCCUCGCGGGAGCUUCCACGAGAAUGGGAUGGAAUGGAGGCGCAGAGCUUCCAGCCCCGCCGGCGCCACCCAGUGCUUGACGAACUCGUCGUGGAGGCUGUCGAUAUUGACCCAGGAGAUUGUGAAGCUUGGAUCUUGGGCGAUGAACUUACAGAGAUGGAUCAUUGGGGAGAUAUGGCCUUGCGCGGGCGCUGGAAACGCCAAGACAUGGACCUUGCGAGAAGCCAUGGUUUCCUUGGCAGGGUUCAUCGGUAUUUAUUAGAAUGGUUUUCUUGGCGGGGAAGGCAACGGAUGUUUACACAAGUUGAUUUCUCGACAAAGAGAGAUUAGCAUAAGCGUUGUGAGAGGCAAUUCUGCUCUAGAACGAGACUCACAUUGACCCAAGUUGCAAUUCAUUACAGCUCCUGAAUUUGAACAAGCAAUGAUCCUAUGGAUAGCUGCCGCAUGAAUCUUGAGAAGGUGGCAAAAAUCUGUCCCUACACCUGGCGGCUGGGAAGCUUCCGGCCUUUGAGAAUAUGGUAAGAGCAUUUAACAUUGGAGCAAUCAGAUUCAUGAGUGCUGCUCUUGUCCACAAAAUGGCCGUGGCUAAGUCCAGCCUAAAAUAAGUGCAUGAUUAUCGAUCAAGAGAACGCUCGUUGUCUUCUCUUUGGCUGGAAAUGAUGCCUGGUCUGGGCAAAUGCAAGUUAGCAAAGAUUCCGAGCAACAAUACUGUACUCAAGCAUUUGUAGAGUUUUUUUUUGUAAACAUCGAAAAUCCCAAACGUUUUCAUGUAAGUUUUAAUUAACUAAGUCUUACAGUUCUUUUGCAUCUGCUUUUUUCCUCACCGAGAAAUGUUACAUAGAGCACAUAACUAAUGUCCAUUUGCUUUGAUUGUAACUUAUGGUCGGUCACUAGCAAUAGAGCAUUCUUGAACAAUUUUGUCAAGUAAUCUUUGUUUGUUUGCUCAGCCAUUUCCAACAUUAUCCAAAUCCCACGCACAAGCGUUUUACUUGACUAGCAUGUGUUUAUCUUCAGAACUGAUAGAUAGAAAGUUCUUAUCAAAGAAUGCAUCGUUCACUCACUUGCGAUCCAGCUUCAUAGCUUUGAGAUCUUCCAGCCAUCCCUGGAGGCCACAAAACGACUUCCCAUUCUCUUUGUCCAUAGCUUUCCUCGCAAGGAUCUUCAAGUUCUCCACUCUCUCCUUCAUCUUCUUCCCCUCCUCGCUAUCCAUCACCUUUCUUAUGCCGUCCUCGAUCUCUCCUCGCUCGAUCAAUCCCUGCACCACUGUCUUGGAGAAUCUAACCCCGAUCUUCCAGUCCUCCACUAUAAACUUACAGUUGGUGUUUUGCUCACCCCCGUAAGGCCACCCCAGCAUUGGAAUGCCAUUUGCGAUGCUCUCCUGGAUGGAAUUCCAUCCGCAGUGCGUGAGAAACGCUCCCAUGGAGGGAUGGGCGAGAACUCGAAGCUGUGGCGCCCAGGAAACGAUGAAUCCCUGGUUCUUGGUCCUCUCGCAAAACCGAUUGUAAGAUUCGUUCGAGUGACCACCCACCACCAGCUCAGGUCGAAUCACCCACAAGAAUGGCUUCUUCGAUGCCUCGAGAGCUCCCGCGAGCUCCUCGAAUUGCUCCUCGCUCAGCACCGCGAUGCUGCCAAAUGAGAUGUAGAGAACAGAUCCACGCUCCUGCGCAUCCAUCCAGUGAAGGCAAUCCUCGUUCUCGGGUCGAAGCACCACAUUCUUCCUGGAAUCGUCGAGCAAGAACAGUGGCCCCGCGGGGAUGAAUCGAGGCCCGAGCUCGCUGGCCAUGAAAUCAAAACUGGGCGCCUCUAGGUCGUAGAAGGAAUUGACGAGGACCCAGCGCGCGCGCUUCACGACGAAGGAGCGCUUGAUAGAAAUCUCCUUCCACACCUCGUCGCCC
This 2616-nucleotide long non-coding RNA is filed under the name Selaginella moellendorffii. RNAcentral's name for it is "long non-coding RNA (SMOE_LNC002079)". Lineage: Eukaryota; Viridiplantae; Streptophyta; Lycopodiopsida; Selaginellales; Selaginellaceae. The record is from RNAcentral.